CAGAUUAUAAAGGAAAUGGAAAUUCUCAAUAAUUAAAAAAAAAAGGCAUAAUGAGAUAUCUUCUCCUCCCUUCUUAACAUCCCUAUGCUUAUCUUAUGCUAAUCUAACAGCGUUAUGAUACUUUCUGGUGUGCUUUUGUGGUGGAAAAUCCCAGUUUCUUCUCAAGGAUCAUGGGAUUGUCCCUGAUGGUAGUGAGGAAAUGACUAAAUCACAGCAUGAACUAUGUAGAAGGGCUCUAACACAGGAGCUCAGCAGGCAUGCCGCUGUUAUUCUUCGAGGAACAAAUACAGUUGCCUGACAUUGUUGUCUGGGCAUUCCGAGGCUUGGAAAGGGAUCCUCGAACCACUAGGUCGUCUGCUGAAGUCUUCCUACAAAUUAAGGUCUUAUGCUUACUUUUUCUAUCCUUUAAUUAGUAGCUCUAUUGAUCUUUGUUGAUCUCCUAUGGUUGUUUUUUUCGGCAUACUAUGCUGGACUGUCAAUGCUCUGGUUCUUCACUAUGGUUUGAUUUUCAUCCGUUGAAUUAUUAAACUACAAGUUUGUCAUCUUCGAUGAAUUGAUAGCCACAUUGGUCAAGGCUUAUUGCAUAUGGUGACUCAGUAAUUCUGUAGCCUAUACAGGGAUAUGACAUAGAGAGAGAUCUACUUCCAUUCAUUUCUUGGCAUGUGUUCACGAGAGGCUAGCUCUUUAGACUACCAGCUACUAACUGAUGGAGCAAACUUGACUUGCAUUGUUCUAGCUUAAGCCAUGAUCUGCAUAUUUGUUACUACAUUUGCGAUUCAAUAUUCAGUCAAGGAUUGUGGGGCUUCUUCAUUUUCUCUUUUGCACUUGAAUUCUUCCAUUGUUUUGGGCCGAUACUUUUGCCUUCACUUUGAAGGUUUCCAGCUUGGCAUGACCCCUGUGUAUAUGGCAUCCCUCUGUUUCAUAAAUGAUCGAAACUGAUGCUCAAAAUUAUAGUAGUUUAGCUACAACCUCAAGGUCAGGGGGAAUGGCAGGAAUGUUUUGUAUUACUUUUCCCUUCUAAAUGCAUAUGCUUAGGCUGUUAUUAUUAUUAUUACUUU
Molecule: long non-coding RNA, 1058 nt
Organism: Populus trichocarpa (black cottonwood)
Lineage: Eukaryota; Viridiplantae; Streptophyta; Magnoliopsida; Malpighiales; Salicaceae
Exons: 3
Source: RefSeq, a predicted model, not a curated record